Molecule: transfer RNA, 69 nt
Organism: Ovis aries (sheep)
Lineage: Eukaryota; Metazoa; Chordata; Mammalia; Artiodactyla; Bovidae
Rfam family: tRNA
About the family: Transfer RNA (tRNA) molecules are approximately 80 nucleotides in length. Their secondary structure includes four short double-helical elements and three loops (D, anti-codon, and T loops).
Source: Rfam
CCUGGUGGCUCAGAUGGUAAAGCAUCUGCCUACAAUGCAGGAGACCCGGGUUCAAUCCCUGGGUCAGGA